GCAGCCUGCAACUCGGCUGCAUGAAGCUGGAAUCGCUAGUAAUCGCGGAUCAGAAUGCCGCGGUGAAUACGUUCCCGGGUCUUGUACACACCGCCCGUCACACCAUGGGAGUCGGGAAUGCCCGAAGUCAGUGACCCAACCGAAAGGGGGGANCUGCCGAAGGCAGGCCUGGUAACUGGGGUGAAGUCGUAACAAGGUACC
This 201-nucleotide ribosomal RNA is filed under the name uncultured bacterium. RNAcentral describes it as "partial 16S ribosomal RNA". It matches the Rfam family "Bacterial small subunit ribosomal RNA", at positions 1300 to 1500 of the family's 1533-position model. The record is from RNAcentral.